This 578-nucleotide non-coding RNA is filed under the name Solanum tuberosum (potato). RNAcentral's name for it is "Bacterial small subunit ribosomal RNA". It matches the Rfam family "Bacterial small subunit ribosomal RNA", at positions 1 to 873 of the family's 1533-position model. The record is from Rfam by way of RNAcentral. Lineage: Eukaryota; Viridiplantae; Streptophyta; Magnoliopsida; Solanales; Solanaceae.
GAGCAGAACCGGUCAGGCAAGGCUAUCGUCUGUAGUGCAAGCAAUGGAUAGCGUUUUCCAUAAAGAAACUAGCUAGAAAGCAGGCCACGCAGGCAUGCAAUAGUAAAAGCAAGCUAACACACGGGCGAGGUUGAAGGCCCACAGGUUGUGAACUUCUUUUCCCGAAGAAGAAGCAAUGCGGUAUCUGGGGAAUAAGCAUCGGUUAGCUCUAUGCCAGCAUCCGCGGUAAUACAAAGGAUGCAAGCGUUAUCCAGAAUGAUUGGGUGUAAAGUGUAUGUAGGUGGCUUUUAAGUCCGCCGUCAAAUCCCAUGGCUCAACCCUGGACAGGCGGUGGAAACUACCAAACUAGAGUACGGUAGGGGCAGAGGGAAUUUCAGGUGGAUUGGUGAAAUGCGUAGAGAUCGGAAAGAACACCAACGGUGAAAACACUCUGUUGGGCCGAUACUGACACUAAGAGACAAAAGGUAGGGUAGCGAAUGAGAUUAAAUAUCCAGUAGUCCUAUCCAUAAACGAUGUAUACUAGGCGUUGUGUGUAUUGAUCCGUGUAGUGAUGUAGCUAACACGUUAAGUAUCUCGCU